AUGUUUAAGUUUGCAUUCAUGCUGCAGCAUGAUUUUUGCUUGAUUUUAUUUAUUUGUUUGUGCCUUUAUUUGAAUUUCGGAGCAAUAAUUAAAUAGGGGAAAUCUGUUUAAAAAAAAAGAAAAAAAAAGGGGCAAGCGCCCUCUCUGGGCCGGCUUCUCUCCCCAGCCCAGCAGCCGCGCCCCCCCCCUCUCCCCGCUUCGGCCCAAGCCGCGGCCCAGC
This 220-nucleotide long non-coding RNA is filed under the name Sorghum bicolor (sorghum). RNAcentral describes it as "long non-coding RNA (SBIC_LNC017698)". The record is from RNAcentral. Lineage: Eukaryota; Viridiplantae; Streptophyta; Magnoliopsida; Poales; Poaceae.